This 253-nucleotide ribosomal RNA is filed under the name uncultured bacterium. RNAcentral's name for it is "partial 16S ribosomal RNA". It matches the Rfam family "Bacterial small subunit ribosomal RNA", at positions 524 to 776 of the family's 1533-position model. The record is from RNAcentral.
UACGAAGGGAGCUAGCGUUGUUCGGAUUUACUGGGCGUAAAGGGCGCGUAGGCGGUCUUGUAAGUAGGAUGUGAAAGCCCUGGGCUUAACCCGGGAACUGCAUUCUAAACUGCAAGGCUUGAGUAUGGGAGAGGUAAGUAGAAUUCCCAGUGUAGAGGUGAAAUUCGUAGAUAUUGGGAAGAAUACCAGUGGCGAAGGCGGCUUACUGGACCAUAACUGACGCUGAGGCGCGAAAGCGUGGGGAGCAAACAGG